RNAcentral lists this ribosomal RNA (570 nucleotides) under Triticum aestivum (bread wheat). RNAcentral describes it as "partial small subunit ribosomal RNA". The record is from RNAcentral. Lineage: Eukaryota; Viridiplantae; Streptophyta; Magnoliopsida; Poales; Poaceae.
AUGCCUUCUGCAGGCCCCUCGGGCGGCCUGUUGGUCGCCUGGGACGCUGCUGCUUUCUCAGGACAGAUCGUUGCAACCCACAGACACCAUUUCACCGUUAGGUUCUCAUCAACGUCGUCUGCGUCAGUUUUCGCGAUCACUACGGUGUAUGCUCCUUGCACCCACCAGGAGAGGCAGCUUUUCUUUGAUGAGUUGGACAGCGUUUCUGGCCUGCUGUUUGAACCAUGGGCUAUCCUCGGCGACUUCAACAUGUACCGGUUCGCCGAGGAAAAGUCCCGAGGUAGAGUCAACUGGGCUAUGAUGGACAAGUUUAAUGGUUGGAUCAGAUCUCAUGGGCUAGAUGAUGUCGACGUUUGCAACCGCAGAUACACCUGGUCGAACAAGCGAGCAGACCCGACCUUGGUUCGGUUGGAUCGCGUGCUCAUCAAUGCUGACUGGCUAUUGUCCUUCUCCCUGACGUCUGCCUCUGUCGUGCCUUCUGUCACCUCCGAUCAUGUGCCUAUCCUGGUUCAGUUUGGAAGCAUUCAGGCAAAAACAAGUUCUUCAGAAUGGAAAACCAAUGGCUGGUGA